UUAUAUAUAGCGUGGAGAAGUGGAACAUCCAUGGGUGAAAUACACUUCUCAACAAUUAAAAAGAUUCCAUCACACCCCUUCCCCCCUGUCUUAUACAUGCUGAGUAUGCUCACGGUAUGAUAUAUAAAAUCAACAGCAUGCGUGGUAUGGGCCUGCAUUUAUUAUUUGUGAUUCAUUUUUCUUUUCAUUAAGCGAGAGAGAGAUCCUUCAGUUCAGAUCGAUCUUUAACUCUAGCUAUCUGAUGUCUGGGUCUGACCCAGUACUGGUCGCGGGUGGCCUGAGCCCUGGUCAUCAUCUAUGGAAACCUCAAGCAGAGUUUGAUCAGUAUACAUAUGCCUCCUUGAGAAAAGGCCCCCCAGUUAUAAGCAGUGCCGGAAGUGCAGUUAUCGGCACUUCAGUUUAGAUAUGAUGGAAAGUAGUGCUCACUUCUCAGAAUCUGUCAAUCAGUUGAAUUUCUUAGCCCUGUGGCUCCUUUGUGGUUGAGCCGGCCUGAAUUUGUAUUGCGUGGCUGGCUCUCUUCUGAACAUCAGUCAGAAAAUACACGGAUAAAUGUAUAAAGGCGGGUGGGGGCGCGGCGGCAGUGCUGAAACGACUAUGUACUAUGCACAAAUGAAGUGGACAAAACAGGGCAGGACCGCCUUCGUUGAGCCUCAAGUAGCUUUCUUUGUCCGCUUCCUAUAUUAGAUAAAUUAUAAUUUCAGUGACAAGGAAAUGACCAUAACCAGCUUACCAAGAGAGAAGCUUGAAAAUUCUGUGUGUAAACCUUCUUGUCAGUUUUAAAUUUAUUAGUGAAGUAUAAUAAGUUUUAGAGUUAUUAAAAAUUUA
This is a long non-coding RNA of Populus nigra (black poplar), 825 nucleotides long. RefSeq lists it as uncharacterized. The transcript is spliced from 2 exons. The record is from RefSeq and is a predicted model, not a curated record. Lineage: Eukaryota; Viridiplantae; Streptophyta; Magnoliopsida; Malpighiales; Salicaceae.